UACAGAGGGGGCAAGCGUUGUUCGGAAUUACUGGGCGUAAAAGGCGCGUAGGCGGCCUGUUAAGUCGAACGUGAAAUCCCCGGGCUCAACCCGGGAACUGCGUCCGAUACUGGCAGGCUUGAAUCCGGGAGAGGGAUGCGGAAUUCCAGGUGUAGCGGUGAAAUGCGUAGAUAUCUGGAGGAACACCGGUGGCGAAGGCGGUGAGCUGGGCAGUUGGCUGACACUGAGGCGCGACAGCCGUGGGGAGCAAACAGG
RNAcentral lists this ribosomal RNA (255 nucleotides) under uncultured bacterium. Its description in RNAcentral is "partial 16S ribosomal RNA". It matches the Rfam family "Bacterial small subunit ribosomal RNA", at positions 524 to 776 of the family's 1533-position model. The record is from RNAcentral.